UCUGAGGGAAGGAAGGACGGAAGCCCCUCUCCCCCCCCCCCUUCCGUUCCCGCUUUGCCCCCGGCCCUUUUCCCCUCCUCCCCCUUCGCCUCCUUCGUCUUCCCUCGGCCACAGGCCUUUCUGCCUCGCUACCUCGCUCGCCCUGAAUGGCUUUCUUUGCCCCUCCUAUUCCAACUCACUCCCAUAGCACCCAAAACCCCCCUCUGGCCCUGGAAGCUAAGCAGGGUCAGCCCUGGUUAAGACUUGGAUUAACCAGGUUCUGUAAGCUAUAUUUCAGAGCGAAGGAAUUGGCAGAAUUUCCUUGUUUAAGGAAACCUUAGAUAUGCAGAUGAUACCACUCUGAUGGCCGACAGCAAGGAGGACCUGAGGAGCCUUAUCACCAAGGUGAAAGAAAAAAGUGCAAAAGCUGGGUUGCAGGUAAACAUCAAGAAAACCAGGAGUAUGGCAACCAGAAUGAUUGAUAAUUGGCAAAUAGAGGGAGAAAACGUGGAGGCAGUGACAGGCUUUGUAUGUCUAGGCACAAAGAUUACUGCAGCCAGGAAAUCAGAAGAUGUUUACUUCUUGGGAGAAGAGCAAUGACCAAUCUCAACAAAAUAGUAAAGAGUUACACUGGCAACGAAGGUCCGCAUAGUUAAAGCAAUGGUAUUCCCCAUAGUAACCUAUGGAGGCGAGAGCUGGAUCAUAAGGAAGGCUGAGCGAAGGAAGAUAGACGCUUUUGAACUGUGGUGUUGGAGGAAAAUCCUGAGAGUGCCUUGGACCACAAGAAGAUCCAACCAGUCCUUCCUCCAGGAAAUAAUGCCCGGCUGCUCACUGGAGGGAAGGAUAUUAGAGGCAAAACUGAAGUACUUUGGCCAUAUAAUAAGAAGAUUGGAGAAGAUAAUGAAGCUGGAGAAAAAGGAAGAGGGGCUGACUGUAACAGAUUAGCCUACCCUGUAGGGAUGGCGUGUAGGGGCAGCCAUUUUUUAAAUUUUAAUAUAAGCCUUGAUUGGUCUCCAUAUGCAUAACCCAAUUUUAUUUGGCCAUGACAACUAUUUAAAGAUUAAUUACAAGGUUUAAAGAAACAGAAUAUUAUUUUUAUUUGUGUAGUAUAGUUUCUUUCUGCUUUAUGGUUGACACUAAUGAUUGGAAUGCCGCCAGCUAUUGAAUUCUAAACUGCUCAUCAGCAACCAGGAAUGAGAACAGGAUGUAUGCAUCUUAUUGAAGGCAAAUUCAAGUGUGAGCAACUAGGCCAGAGGAAACAAAUUUCCCCUCUUCUUCACAAUAGAAACUACUGAAUGAAGCGAGUGAUGAUGCAGGAAGAGAGGAUCUUGGAAAAUCUGUGGGGCAUUUUCUGGGAUCAGAGUUCUACUGCUCCUGGACAUCAGAUUCUCAGUCUAUUCAAGUUAAGAACUCCUGAUGUACACAGACUUACGUAACUCUUUCUCUACCAAAAGAAAACUCUGCUCCAAUUGUCAACUUAUGUGAUGAGUCAUGGGCCAUGUAGUCCCGUCUCUGGUACUGUAGUACCAGAUGAAGAGGAGAACUUGGGUUUUUCACCGUCUCAGUCAGAAUUGGAACCUUCCCAGCCAGAUUUGGGAACCUUGCACCUGCAAGAGAUUUGUCUUCCAGAAGUCUGUCAAACAAGCCCUGAGCCUAAAUCUCCUGUGUUUUCUCGCCACGAGUUUUGUAAACAACAGAGGGGAGUUCAAGCAGCGUCUCGCAGGAGUGCUAGGAUAGCUGCUAAGAAUUCAGCUGAUUAAGCCUGUUUUCCAUGGGAAACUUUAAGGAGUCAUGCAUCUGGACUCAGAGUUUAGCUUUCGUUUCUGGUUCCCCAGAGAACUGCUCUUUGGUGGGAAAACUAGACCCUAUUUAGGUGUUUUGCCCACAAAGGGACCUUGCGGAGUCAAUUCGUCAGCUACUGGAGUAAGUUGUGUGUGGACAGCGCGCUCCGUUUCCAAGCCUCGUUCCUGUUUCAAGCCUUGUUCCUGAUUCCAAGCCUUCGCUCCCGUUUCCAAGCCUUCGUUCCCGUUUCCAGCCUUGUUUACCUCCACGGACCUUGCCUUGUUUUCCAGGACUCAGCCUUGCCUUGUUUUCCGGAUUUUGCCAAGUAAUUCCACGGAUCUUGUUCUUGCUCCUCGUUCCUUGUUGCCUUGUAUCAAGCCUUGUUUCAAGUUACUCCCUAGCCUCGCUCAAGUUUCAUGGACUAAAGGACAUUGUCAUCUCCCCUCACUUUGCCUGGCAAAGUGAGUGUUUCGGUUAUUGGAUUACAACUUUGGACCUUAAUAUUUCAUAUUGGACAUUGUUUCUUUGGACUAAUUUUGACCUUUCCUGAAAGGUCUACUUCUGGACUAUUUCAUACACUUGCUUUUAUUAACUUUAUAUAUUUCCUUAAUAAAGAUAUUAGAUAGAUUCUGGCCUCUGUGUAUGGUUAUUGGUGCUCUGCAGCCUGGGUCGUGACAACUUACCUAGGGGUACGAACAUUUUUGGCCUGUAUAUUUUUAAAGCCAUAGAUGCAAACCUAGCCAACUCAAAGUUAACAAUGCCUGAGGUUGCUUGCUUAUUUAUUUAUUGAAAUGAGUACAAACACACUUAAGUCUGCGUUGAUCACGGUUACUGUGAUGUGGCAGCACAGAUCAACCACAGAAAGUUAGUUUACGUGCGGUAAAUGCUUACAGUAUAAUAAACAUGAAUUCACAGAAUCAUAGAAUAGUAGAGUUGGAAGAGAGCUCACGGGCCAUCCAUUCCAACCCCCUGCCAAGAAGCAGGAAAUCGCAUUCAAAGCACCCCCAACAGAUGGCCAUCCAGCCUCUGCUUAAAAGCCACCAAAGAAGGAGCCUCAUAUUUUCAGAAAUGAAAGCAUAAUUUUGACAAAGAUUUAAGUUUGCUCAUGACUAGGGUUCAAGGGAGCUCUCUUAUCUCAUUAGAUACAGGAUAAUAAUGCAUUAAGUUUAUCAAUUAUUAAGUUUGCACCCUUUGCUAAAUAUAGGACACCUGUAUGAUUCAUGGCAAGUAUUCCACUUAUUCAUCAUUAGGCAACUGGCUAAAACACCCAGUGCUACUUAUCUGCUUAAGAGCAAUAAUAAUCCCAGAGUGUUUAUUGCAAAGAGUGGAGCCAGGAUUGCGCAAUGUGUGCACUAUAUUCCCUCUUGUAACACGACAUGGUGAUGAGCUGGCAGAAAGGGAACAGAGGUGAUGAAACGUACAUAUAAAGAGGGAAAUAUGAUGAUGAUUCAUAACAAAUGUAUCAGGUUUAGCAAUCCUUUUGCUAUGUGUGCCUUAACAUAAGGCAGACUGUAUGUAUUAUUUUUUUUAAAAAUCUGUGCUUUCUGGCUGAUACUAUGACACAAAUUAAGAAACUAUAUAAAGUAUGAUCUCAAUAUCUGUGGGACUGGUAUCCAGAGUUCUGUCUAUCCACAACCAACAAAUAUGUCUAUAUAGGCAUCUUCUUUAUCUUCCAGUCUAUGGUAUUUUUCAGCCAGACGUCCUUCAUUUCAUUAGGGUUUGCUAUUUUCUGAGUUUUUGUGUAUCUUUGUAAGAUUCAGGAGUGUAUUCCCCAAAUAUACAGAGGUCAUACUGUAUUACCAUUACUAUCAACAUCUGGAAACCUUUAGCAAAAGAAAAUCAUUUAUAUUCCACAACAUUUUAGAAGUAAUAAGAAUCAUAGAGUUGGAAGAGCCCUCGUGGGGCAUCCAGUCCAACCCUAUGCCAAGAAGCAGGAAAAUCGCAUUCAAAGCACCUCGACAGAUGGCCAUCCAGACUCUGCUUAAAGGUCUCCAAAGAAGGAGCCUCCACCACACUCCGGGGCAGAGAGUUCCCCUGCUGAACAGCUCUUACAGUCAAGAAGUUCUUCCUAAUGUUCAGGUGGAAUCUCCUUUCCUGUAAUUGAACCCAUUGCACCGAGUCCUAGUCUACAGGGCAGCAGAAAACAAGUCUGCUCCCUCUUCCUUAUAACAGCCUUUCAAAUAUUUCAACUAUAUUCCUUUUGAUGCAGCUCAAAAUCCCAGUUUUUUUUAGCUGCUGCAUCACAAUUUUGCUCAUGUUCGAUUUGUGAUCUAUUAAGACUCCAGAUCUUUUCCACAUGUUGUCAAGCCAGAUGUCACUCAUCUUGUAUCUGUGCAUUUCAUUUUUUCUGCCUAAGUGUAGUAUCCCACAUAUCUCCUGGUUGAAAUUGAUUUUGUUAGUUUUGGCCCAGCCAUCCUUCCUCCUACCAAGUUACAAAGGCUCCACAUUCAAUAGACAAUGUUUGUUAGCUUUAUCAUUGUCAGGCUAUGAAUCUUUUCAAAGCAGAUUAAUUACUAAAGGUCUAGGAACAAUGCCUUAAAAUAUGGCUUAAAUGACAACUUCAGAAAAAUACAUUCUUCUCUGAAGUUAAGGGUUUUUUGUAAGCACUCAUUCUCUGUUCUGAUAUUAUCUAUAGCAGUUACAGGAAGCCCAGUCUUCAAAUAAAUGAUUACCCCAGAGAUAGAAAUCAUGCAGGAUUUCAGAUGUUGAACUGCAGAUCUCAGCAUUCUUGGCCAACACAGGGAGCAUCUACACAGGAGAAUUAAUGUAGUUUGACACCAGUUCUCUACAAAAAAACUUUUUGCUGUAAUGGCUAUAUUGGUGAUGGAGUAUGCUUAGCUUUUGAAGCAGACUUUGUUAAACAAACAUAUUAAUUGAUGCUUAAUUUGUAAACCACACCACUUACUUUGUAUCAUACUGUGCUCUUAAUAACUGAUCUGAAAUUAUUCCCACAUAAAUGUUCAUUGUUGUUUCACAUAACGGAUUCGCUGGUCUGAGUUAACAGUAAGACACUUUAACAAAGUGCCUAACGUCACCCUCAGACAUGUUUUUUCUUUAAAAAGCAUGCAAAAAUUGCCUCACAUAGCAUCUUAUGUGUAUUCACACCCAGAGUCCAGAAAGUAGCGUUCCAGUAAGCCUCCAACCAAAAAACUGUUUACAGCAGUAGGGCUUACCAAAAAAAUAUGAAAUAUGUUAAACCUAUGUAACACCCAAGAAAAGUGGGGUAGCUCAGGACAGAUUCAGUGUCCAGACACCUCUGUCACAAUAUCUCAAACAAAUGUGGAAGGAACACAGGCCCAUGUGUGUACACAAGCUAACUUGGGGUGCCACCAGCUCAACACUGCUUAUCUCAGUCUCUCCCCCCCCUUUCCCCCUUUUUACUAAAAACAGCAACAAUUAAUAAACACAGCCACUGAUUUGCCAAGA
Anolis carolinensis (green anole) is the source of this 5187-nucleotide long non-coding RNA. RefSeq lists it as uncharacterized. NCBI's taxonomy places the organism in Eukaryota, Metazoa, Chordata, Lepidosauria, Squamata, Anolidae. The record is from RefSeq and is a predicted model, not a curated record. The transcript has 2 exons.